This 381-nucleotide ribosomal RNA is filed under the name uncultured eukaryote. Its description in RNAcentral is "partial 18S ribosomal RNA". It matches the Rfam family "Eukaryotic small subunit ribosomal RNA", at positions 592 to 976 of the family's 1831-position model. The record is from RNAcentral.
CAAUAGCGUAUAUUAAAGCUGUUGCGGUUAAAAAGCUCGUAGUUGGAUUUCUGUCAAGGACAACUGGUCCGCCCUCCGGGUGAGCACAUAGUUUGGUCUUGGCAUCUUGCUGGAAGCUGUUGCUGCACUUGGCUGUUUGGCGCAGCGUCCAGCACUUUCACUUUGAGGAAAUUGGAGUGUUUCAAGCAGGCACAUGCCUUUGGACACAGUAGCAUGGAAUAAUUAGAUUGGGCUUUUGCUCCAAUUUGUCGGUUUCUGGAGCUGAGGUGAGAAUUAAUGGGGAUUGUUGGGGGCAUCCGAAUUUAGCCGUCAGAGGUGAAAUUCUUGGAUCUGCUAAAGACGGACAACUGCGAAAGCGUUUGCCCAGGAUGUUUUCAUUGA